This 563-nucleotide ribosomal RNA is filed under the name uncultured bacterium. RNAcentral describes it as "bacterial SSU rRNA". It matches the Rfam family "Bacterial small subunit ribosomal RNA", at positions 338 to 916 of the family's 1533-position model. The record is from RNAcentral.
CCUACGGGAGGCAGCAGUGGGGAAUAUUGGACAAUGGGCGAAAGCCUGAUCCAGCAAUGCCGCGUGAGUGAUGAAGGCCUUAGGGUUGUAAAGCUCUUUUACCAGGGAUGAUAAUGACAGUACCUGGAGAAUAAGCUCCGGCUAACUCCGUGCCAGCAGCCGCGGUAAUACGGAGGGAGCUAGCGUUGUUCGGAAUUACUGGGCGUAAAGCGUGCGUAGGCGGUGAUUCAAGUCAGAGGUGAAAGCCUGGAGCUCAACUCCAGAACGGCCUUUGAAACUAGAUCGCUAGAAUUAUGGAGAGGUAAGUGGAAUUCCGAGUGUAGAGGUGAAAUUCGUAGAUAUUCGGAAGAACACCAGUGGCGAAGGCGACUUACUGGACAUAUAUUGACGCUGAGGUACGAAAGCGUGGGGAGCAAACAGGAUUAGAUACCCUGGUAGUCCACGCCGUAAACGAUGAUAACUAGCUGUUCGGGCUCUCAGAGCUUGAGUGGCGCAGCUAACGCAUUAAGUUAUCCGCCUGGGGAGUACGGUCGCAAGAUUAAAACUCAAAAUGAAAUUGACGG